UCAAGAAACUUCCACAAUGGGCGAAAGCCUGAUGGAGCGACGUCGCGUGAUGGACGAAGUGCUUCGGCACGUAAACAUCUUUUUAUGUGGGAUGAAAUUAUUGACAGUACCACAUGAAUAAGGGGCUCCUAACUCUGUGCCAGCAGGAGCGGUAAUACAGAGGCCCCAAGCGUUAUCCGGAAUCACUGGGCGUAAAGGGUGUCGAGGCGGUUGUAUUAGUCGUUCGUAAAAUCUACGAGCUUAACUUGUAGGCGGCGAACGAAACGGUACGACUUGAGGUUUGGAGAGGUGCGUGGAACUCACGGUGUAGGGGUGAAAUCCGUUGAUAUCGUGGGGAACACCAAAGGCGAAGGCAGCGCACUGGCCAAAAUCUGACGCUCACACACGAAAGCUAGGGUAGCGAAGAGGAUUAGAUACCCAGGUAGUCCCUGAGCGGGCUGGCAAGGCGCAU
Molecule: ribosomal RNA, 451 nt
Filed under: uncultured bacterium
Lineage: Bacteria
Description: bacterial SSU rRNA
Rfam family: Bacterial small subunit ribosomal RNA
Source: RNAcentral